AACGAACGCUGGCGGCAUGCCUAACACAUGCAAGUCGAACGAGACCUCCGGGUGUAUUCACUCGCGGGUUCGUAACGGGUCGGAAGCGUCCCUUGGGUGCGGAAUAACUCCGCGAAAGGGGUACUAAUGGGGGACAGUGUCUACUGACCAAAACUUUAUCUCCCUUGGAUGUGCCCGCGUUGGAUUAGCUAGUUGGUAUUGUAAAAGCCCACCAAGGCUACGAUCCAUAGCUGGGCUGAGAGGCUGAUCAGCCACACUGGGAACGAGACACGGCCCCGACUCCUACGCGAGGGAGCAGUGGGGAAUAUUGGACGAUGGGCGAAAGCGUGAUGCAGCAAUGCCGCGUGAGUGAUGAAGGGCUUAGGGUUGUAAAGCUCUUUUACCAGGGAUGAUAAUGACAGUACCGGCAGAAUAAGCUCCGGCUAACUCCGUG
Molecule: ribosomal RNA, 433 nt
Filed under: uncultured bacterium
Lineage: Bacteria
Description: partial 16S ribosomal RNA
Rfam family: Bacterial small subunit ribosomal RNA
Source: RNAcentral